This 429-nucleotide ribosomal RNA is filed under the name Chloroflexota bacterium. RNAcentral describes it as "Chloroflexi bacterium partial 16S ribosomal RNA". It matches the Rfam family "Bacterial small subunit ribosomal RNA", at positions 355 to 776 of the family's 1533-position model. The record is from RNAcentral. Lineage: Bacteria; Bacillati; Chloroflexota.
UAGGGAAUCUUCGGCAAUGGACGAAAGUCUGACCGAGCAACGCCGCGUGAGUGAAGAAGGUUUUCGGAUCGUAAAACUCUGUUGUUAGAGAAGAACAAGGACGUUAGUAACUGAACGUCCCCUGACGGUAUCUAACCAGAAAGCCACGGCUAACUACGUGCCAGCAGCCGCGGUAAUACGUAGGUGGCAAGCGUUGUCCGGAUUUAUUGGGCGUAAAGCGCACGCAGGCGGUCUGUCAAGUCGGAUGUGAAAUCCCCGGGCGUAACCUGGGAACUGCAUUCGAAAAUGGCAGGCUAGAGGCUUGUAGAGGGGGGUAGAAUUCCAGGUGUAGCGGUGAAAUGCGUAGAGAUCUGGAGGAAUACCGGUGGCGAAGGCGGCCCCCUGGACAAAGACUGACGCUCAGGUGCGAAAGCGUGGGGAGCAAACAGG